GGUGACGAGCGGCGGACGGGUGAGUAAUGUCUGGGAAACUGCUCUGAUGGAGGGGGAUACCUACUGUGAAACGGUAGCUAAUACCGCAUAACGUCGCAAGACCAAAGUGGGGGACCUUCGGGCCUCAUGCCAUCAGAUGUGCCCAGAUGGGAUUAGCUGGUAGGUGGGGUAACGGCUCACCUAGGCGACGAUCCCUAGCUGGUCUGAGAGGAUGACCAGCCACACUGGAACUGAGACACGGUCCAGACUCCUACGGGAGGCAGCAGUGGGGAAUAUUGCACAAUGGGCGCAAGCCUGAUGCAKCCAUGCCGCGUGUGUGAAGAAGGCCUUCGGGUUGUAAAGCACUUUCAGCGGGGAGGAAGGCGGUGAGGUUAAUAACCUCAUCGAUUGACGUUACCCGCAGAAGAAGCACCGGCUAACUCCGUGCCAGCAGCCGCGGUAAUACGGAGGGUGCAAGCGUUAAUCGGAAUUACUGGGCGUAAAGCGCACGCAGGCGGUCUGUCAAGUCGGAUGUGAAAUCCCCGGGCUCAACCUGGGAACUGCAUUCGAAACUGGCAGGCUAGAGUCUUGUAGAGGGGGGUAGAAUUCCAGGUGUAGCGGUGAAAUGCGUAGAGAUCUGGAGGAAUACCGGUGGCGAAGGCGGCCCCCUGGACAAAGAGCUGACGCUCAGGGCGAAAGCGGGASA
This 685-nucleotide ribosomal RNA is filed under the name Klebsiella sp. ICBR 210. RNAcentral's name for it is "bacterial SSU rRNA". It matches the Rfam family "Bacterial small subunit ribosomal RNA", at positions 87 to 766 of the family's 1533-position model. Lineage: Bacteria; Pseudomonadati; Pseudomonadota; Gammaproteobacteria; Enterobacterales; Enterobacteriaceae. The record is from RNAcentral.